CUGAAGCAUUCAGAUAUAUAUAUAUAUAUAUGUGUGUGUGUGUGUGUGUGUGUGUGUGUAUACACACACAAACACAUUUAUAAUAGUACAUGUAGA
This 96-nucleotide microRNA precursor is filed under the name Dasypus novemcinctus (nine-banded armadillo). RNAcentral describes it as "miRNA (ENSDNOG00000045391.1)". The record is from RNAcentral. Lineage: Eukaryota; Metazoa; Chordata; Mammalia; Cingulata; Dasypodidae.